GGAAGUAAAAGCCGUAACAAGGUCUCCGUUGGUGAACCAGCGGAGGGAUCAUUGCCGAGCCCGGCUCCAAAGCGCGCGAACCUAUACCCCAUAUGCCUCGGCGGGGGGCCCCCCCCAGGGCGAGCGUGGGGGGGGGCCGCGGGGGACCCGCCGGCGGCGCACCAGCACCGAACCUUGCACGUUACCUUCCAAGCACAACCUUCAGCAAUGGAUCUCUUGGCACUG
This 225-nucleotide unclassified non-coding RNA is filed under the name plant metagenome. Its description in RNAcentral is "partial contains small subunit ribosomal RNA and internal transcribed spacer 1". The stretch from base 1 to 54 matches the Rfam family "Eukaryotic small subunit ribosomal RNA", at positions 1778 to 1831 of the family's 1831-position model. The record is from RNAcentral.